RNAcentral lists this ribosomal RNA (492 nucleotides) under uncultured bacterium. RNAcentral's name for it is "partial 16S ribosomal RNA". It matches the Rfam family "Bacterial small subunit ribosomal RNA", at positions 28 to 507 of the family's 1533-position model. The record is from RNAcentral.
GGUGAACGCUGGCGGUAGGCCUAACACAUGCAAGUCGAACGGCAGCACAGUAAGAGCUUGCUCUUACGGGUGGCGAGUGGCGGACGGGUGAGGAAUACAUCGGAAUCUACUUUUUCGUGGGGGAUAACGUAGGGAAACUUACGCUAAUACCGCAUACGACCUACGGGUGAAAGCAGGGGAUCUUCGGACCUUGCGCGAUUGAAUGAGCCGAUGUCGGAUUAGCUAGUUGGCGGGGUAAAGGCCCACCAAGGCGACGAUCCGUAGCUGGUCUGAGAGGAUGAUCAGCCACACUGGAACUGAGACACGGUCCAGACUCCUACGGGAGGCAGCAGUGGGGAAUAUUGGACAAUGGGCGCAAGCCUGAUCCAGCCAUACUGCGUGGGUGAAGAAGGCCUUCGGGUUGUAAAGCCCUUUUGUUGGGAAAGAAAAGCAGCAGGUUAAUACCCCGCUGUUCUGACGGUACCCAAAGAAUAAGCACCGGCUAACUUCGUG